RNAcentral lists this ribosomal RNA (253 nucleotides) under uncultured bacterium. Its description in RNAcentral is "partial 16S ribosomal RNA". It matches the Rfam family "Bacterial small subunit ribosomal RNA", at positions 524 to 776 of the family's 1533-position model. The record is from RNAcentral.
GACAGAGGGUGCAAACGUUGUUCGGAAUUACUGGGCGUAAAGCGCGUGUAGGCGGUCUGAAAAGUCGGGUGUGAAAGCCCUGGGCUCAACCCAGGAAGUGCACUCGAAACUGCCAGGCUAGAGUAUCGGAGAGGUUGGUGGAAUUCUCGGUGUAGAGGUGAAAUUCGUAGAUAUCGAGAGGAACACCGGUGGCGAAGGCGGCCAACUGGACGAAUACUGACGCUGAGACCCGAAAGCGUGGGGAGCAAACAGG